GGUCAUUGAUGUUUGUCUCAAACAAGUGAAAGAUUUUAGCAGCAGACUUUCCGCUGAAGAAAUAUUGUUUGCCAUGUUCAAAAAGAAGUUUUGGAAGAAGAUAUGGAAGAAGUUACCAACAAAGCUUGUUUGGUCUACUGUCAUGUAAACUGCAGUGUUUCUUCUCUAAAAAGUGGGAGGGAGAGGAAAUUUUAUUUUGCAUCAAGUAUGGGUCUCCUUGUGCAUCAACAUAAAAUGAAACAUUUAUCAUUAUUGGACAGUCAUAGUGGGAUAAGGACUGGAGCACAGAAGCUUCCAA
Molecule: long non-coding RNA, 298 nt
Organism: Pantherophis guttatus
Lineage: Eukaryota; Metazoa; Chordata; Lepidosauria; Squamata; Colubridae
Source: RefSeq, a predicted model, not a curated record